This 2106-nucleotide unclassified non-coding RNA is filed under the name Acanthaster planci (crown-of-thorns starfish). RNAcentral describes it as "uncharacterized LOC110979537, transcript variant X2". Lineage: Eukaryota; Metazoa; Echinodermata; Asteroidea; Valvatida; Acanthasteridae. The record is from RNAcentral.
UUAACCCGACGCGAAUGAUGCGCGGGAUAAGACAGAUUGCGGCAUUUGUUUGGAAUGGAAAAGGUCGAGUAAGGUAAAAUGUUAGUGUUAUGCUUCCUUGGCCUGUAGACGAAAAAACAUGAAGAACUAAAAAGCACACAUAACCUAGGCCUACGUUAUGUUUGAAACCGCGGAGACCAGUCAGAGAGAUUUAUUUUGAUCGAUUACAUUGAGACAGUCGCGUUCUUCAUGUUCUCUUGUGUGACCAACAACCAAUGGCAGCUAAAUACAUGUACAAAUAAUUACAUCAUAUGUAGCCUACAUGGACAAGCUUACAAAUCUGUUGUCGGAAAAUGUUGAUGACAGUUCUUGGGACGAAGAACUUAUUUGCCGUCUGCAGGCCUACAUCAGGGCUUUUCUGACCCGCAAGCAAUUUCAGGAAGUGAGGAGCCUGUAUAAGGAAAUAGUCCGUGAAGUAGAAGGGGACAUCCUCUUGGGUAACCAGACAAAUGUCUCGUGGAGAACACAUCUCCCUUGCAGGCCGCGUUGUUCCCCAAAACUUAGAAAGUGUUUUGCUGUUGUGAAAGACGGAACAAAGACUACACAGACCUGCCUCACUCCAUCUGGCCAACGACCUGUUGAAGGUGCUGAUCAGGAUGUCAAGAGUCAAGGAACUGACCUUGAUUCUAGAAGCCAUCAGGAAGAGAUCCCUUUUGAAGCAGAUGGUAAGGAGUUAUCAGGACUUGGCGGAGAAUGCCAAGAUCCUGUUCAUCAAGUACAUGCAGAGACCCUCCCUUCAUGUGAAGGUGAAGGUUUACCUGAACUUGACAAAGUUCUUGUUAAUCAAGGCCAAAGUUUGACCCCCUCUGAAGAAGGGAAUGAAUCAGUCGACUUUCAUGAUUCUACCAGACGACUUGAAUCUGUAUCUGAGAGAAGUAGCAAGCACUCCAAGCAGGGUUCCCCAUCAACCAGUGUGGACUACACUCUCGAUUUCGAAUCUUGCUCCAGUUCAGCAACGUCAGAAGCUGCAAGAUUAAUUUCCACUAGUACUCAGCUGAAGUUGCAACAGGACUCCGGGAAUGCUGCUUCUCUGGAACUUUGUGUCGUCGCACUUGCAGGUGACAAAACUGCAGUGACAGAGGGAAAUUUGCCCAACGGGAAUCAGGUCUCUGAAGUUACAUCAGACAAGAUGGAUGAAAAGCAGAUGGAAAAGAGAGAAAAUGAUUGGAAUUCUGCCGAAGAUUUCACCCCAGUCCAAAGCAGUGGGACCAACACCAUAUCACAACCAAAUCUGCAAAGGCUGGAUAGAAAAUCCCCUGACGAUUGCAUACAUGUAGAUGGAAUGGUGUCAUCGACCAGAGAUGAGGUCAGAACAUUUUCACCAGAGGGAGACGAAGAAGCAAUGUCUGUCUCACAAGAAGAGGCCAGUAAGUCUGGUGGAAGCUCAGAUGCUAAAGAUAGCCUCAAAGUUGCACCCUCAAAGAUGCAGGAUCUGACCGAGGAGAGUAGGGGAGACUUAAAUGUACAUGUAGCUUCCAACACGUUAACAGAUUGCCAAGAUCAAGUAAAUAGAAACUCAAAUCAAGAUCAAGCAAACGGAAAGUCAAAAAUGGAAUCUGUCCCAACUCCACCUCAUCCUCCAAACGUUUCUGAUGAAGGGAAGGCGGCAGCAGAAUCCACAAUGCAUGGGAGCAGAGAUGAAGAAGAGGAGGGAGGUGGUUUGGGGCCAGCCACCAGGGAGAUGCAGGAGGCUAGGGAAACCACUCGGCUGGCCUCAGAGAAGAGAAGCUAUGAGCAAGACUUCUCCAUCGCAGCGGAUAUGACAUCCAUCUGGAGCAAUGAAAAUUCAUUCACGGUGUUCAAGAGUAUGAAGGCGUGGCAAUACCGAUAGUGUGUGAUGCAGGCAAACAGGAAAAAGUCUGAAGAGACAUGUGUUCUCCUUGGAGUUCGGAGGAGUUCUCCCUGAAAAAUGUGCAUUCUCGAGAUAAGAAGACUACUGCCUGGCCAAUGCAUAAUAGUGGAUCAGCAUCACUAAGAUACAGAGAUGCCUGACUCUGAUUAUCCGAUUGAUCUCAGGGAACUGCAGAGGCUGCGCAACAGUGUUGCCCUGGAGCUGCUCUGGGUACA